CUGUGACCAAAGUAUACAAUGAUCUUAUCACUGCUAAAUCCCAUGGCCACUACUCUAUACUAAUUCUCCUAGACCUUUCUGCUGAUUUUGACAUGGUUGAUCAUCAACAACUUCUUCUCAUCCUCCGUAAGCUCAGUCUACGAGAUACCACUCCUGGUGCUCUGCCUCUUCUCCCCAAUCCCUCUCUGUUGGUAUUCCCCAAGGGU
Non-coding RNA from Pelobates cultripes (western spadefoot toad), 206 nucleotides. The record is from the annotation of a GenBank genome assembly. NCBI's taxonomy places the organism in Eukaryota, Metazoa, Chordata, Amphibia, Anura, Pelobatidae.